GAGUUUGAUCUUGGCUCAGGACGAACGCUGGCGGCGUGCCUAACACAUGCAAGUCGAACGGAGAACUCGAAAAGCUUGCUUUGAGAGUUCUUAGUGGCGGACGGGUGAGUAACGCGUGGGCAACCUCCCCCUUAAACCGGGACAACCCUUGGAAACGAGGGCUAAUACCGGAUACGCUUUUCUGAGGACAUCCUCGGGAAAGGAGAGGCGGCCUCUGAAGAUGCUGCCGAUAAGGGAUGGACCCGCGUCUGAUUAGCUGGUUGGUGGGGUAAAGGCCUACCAAGGCGACGAUCAGUAGCCGGCCUGAGAGGGUGAACGGCCACGCUGGGACUGAGACACGGCCCAGACUCCUACGGGAGGCAGCAGUGGGGAAUCUUCCGCAAUGGACGAAAGUCUGACGGAGCAACGCCGCGUGUAUGACGAAGGCCUCGGUUGUAAGUAC
Molecule: ribosomal RNA, 442 nt
Filed under: bacterium enrichment culture clone ALO1_GLFRUDD03FX7P9
Lineage: Bacteria
Description: bacterial SSU rRNA
Rfam family: Bacterial small subunit ribosomal RNA
Source: RNAcentral